AGAGUUUGAUCAUGGCUCAGGAUGAACGCUAGCUACAGGCUUAACACAUGCAAGUCGAGGGGCAGCAUGGUCUUAGCUUGCUAAGGCCGAUGGCGACCGGCGCACGGGUGAGUAACACGUAUCCAACCUGCCGUCUACUCUUGGACAGCCUUCUGAAAGGAAGAUUAAUACAAGAUGGCAUCAUGAGUCCACAUGUUCACAUGAUUAAAGGUAUUCCGGUAGACGAUGGGGAUGCGUUCCAUUAGAUAGUAGGCGGGGUAACGGCCCACCUAGUCUUCGAUGGAUAGGGGUUCUGAGAGGAAGGUCCCCCACAUUGGAACUGAGACACGGUCCAAACUCCUACGGGAGGCAGCAGCGAGGAAUAUUGGUCAAUGGGCGAGAGCCUGAACCAGCCAAGUAGCGUGAAGGAUGACUGCCCUAUGGGUUGUAAACUUCUUUUAUAAAGGAAUAAAGUCGGGUAUGCAUACCCGUUUGCAUGUACUUUAUGAAUAAGGAUCGGCUAACUCCGUGCCAGCAGCCGCGGUAAUACGGAGGAUCCGAGCGUUAUCCGGAUUUAUUGGGUUUAAAGGGAGCGUAGAUGGAUGUUUAAGUCAGUUGUGAAAGUUUGCGGCUCAACCGUAAAAUUGCAGUUGAUACUGGAUAUCUUGAGUGCAGUUGAGGCAGGCGGAAUUCGUGGUGUAGCGGUGAAAUGCUUAGAUAUCACGAAGAACUCCGAUUGCGAAGGCAGCCUGCUAAGCUGCAACUGACAUUGAGGCUCGAAAGUGUGGGUAUCAAACAGGAUUAGAUACCCUGGUAGUCCACACGGUAAACGAUGAAUACUCGCUGUUUGCGAUAUACUGCAAGCGGCCAAGCGAAAGCGUUAAGUAUUCCACCUGGGGAGUACGCCGGCAACGGUGAAACUCAAAGGAAUUGACGGGGGCCCGCACAAGCGGAGGAACAUGUGGUUUAAUUCGAUGAUACGCGAGGAACCUUACCCGGGCUUAAAUUGCAGAUGAAUUACGGUGAAAGCCGUAAGCCGCAAGGCAUCUGUGAAGGUGCUGCAUGGUUGUCGUCAGCUCGUGCCGUGAGGUGUCGGCUUAAGUGCCAUAACGAGCGCAACCCUUGUUGUCAGUUACUAACAGGUUCUGCUGAGGACUCUGACAAGACUGCCAUCGUAAGAUGUGAGGAAGGUGGGGAUGACGUCAAAUCAGCACGGCCCUUACGUCCGGGGCUACACACGUGUUACAAUGGGGGGUACAGAGGGCCGCUACCACGCGAGUGGAUGCCAAUCCCAAAAACCUCUCUCAGUUCGGACUGGAGUCUGCAACCCGACUCCACGAAGCUGGAUUCGCUAGUAAUCGCGCAUCAGCCACGGCGCGGUGAAUACGUUCCCGGGCCUUGUACACACCGCCCGUCAAGCCAUGGGAGCCGGGGGUACCUGAAGUGCGUAACCGCGAGGAGCGCCCUAGGGUAAAACUGGUGACUGGGGCUAAGUCGUAACAAGGUA
RNAcentral lists this ribosomal RNA (1486 nucleotides) under metagenome. RNAcentral's name for it is "bacterial SSU rRNA". It matches the Rfam family "Bacterial small subunit ribosomal RNA". The record is from RNAcentral.